This 440-nucleotide ribosomal RNA is filed under the name uncultured bacterium. RNAcentral's name for it is "partial 16S ribosomal RNA". It matches the Rfam family "Bacterial small subunit ribosomal RNA", at positions 338 to 795 of the family's 1533-position model. The record is from RNAcentral.
CCUACGGGUGGCAGCAGUGGGGAAUAUUGCACAAUGGGGGAAACCCUGAUGCAGCGACGCCGCGUAAGUGAAGACGUAAUUCGUUAUGUUAAGCUCUAUCAGCAGGGAAGAAAAUGACGGUACCUGAGUAAGAAGCCCCGUCUCACUACGUGCCAGCAGCCGCGGUAAUACGUAGGGGGCAAGCGUUAUCCGGAUUUUCUGGGUGUAAAGGGAGCGUAGACGGCAGUGCAAGUCUGGAGUGAAAGGCGGGGGCUCAACCCCCGGACUGCUCUGGAAACUGUACGGCUGGAGUGCAGGAGAGGUAAGUGGAAUUCCUAGUGUAGCGGUGAAAUGCGUAGAUAUUAGGCGGAACACCAGUGGCGAAGGCAGCUUACUGGCCUGUAACUGACGUUGAGGCUCGAAAGCGUGGGGAGCGAACAGGAUUAGAUACCCCGGUAGUC